RNAcentral lists this unclassified non-coding RNA (389 nucleotides) under Hevea brasiliensis (rubber tree). The record is from RNAcentral. Lineage: Eukaryota; Viridiplantae; Streptophyta; Magnoliopsida; Malpighiales; Euphorbiaceae.
CCAACUUUGAGGAGCGCUGGUUCAAGGCUGCAAAGCCUCAUGGGAUUAAAAAACUAAAAAUGUCAUACGAUGAUGCUCUGCUCAGGAUUGAAAGAAUUCCAGAUAUUGUAGGAGUUCUUGAUGCUCCUUCUGUUGGUGAGAAUGAUCCUGAAGCUUGGCAUAUUCAGAUUUUUCGUUCAAUAGAUUCAAAUUCUGUUAAACGCUUCCCAAAGGAUCCCAAAGAUGCCACAAGCAAGAACCUGGUGUGUGGGAAGAAUGUCCUUAUUGACAUGAGCAUACAUACAGCCUAUGUGAAGGCCAUUCGUGCUGCCCAGCAUUUUAUUUAUAUAGAGAACCAAUAUUUCAUUGGCUCCUCAUUCAACUGGAGUUCAUAUAAUGAUUUAGGCGCU